CUGAAUGGGGCAACCCACCUGAUAUUCUAUUAUUGUUAACCGCAAGGUUGCUCAAUAGUAGGGUAAACCAGGUACUUUUAGACUGAAUACAUAGGUUUAAAAGAGCAAACCCGGGGAACUGAAACAUCUAAGUACCCGGAGGAAAGGAAAUCAAUUGAUACUCCGCUAGUAGUGGCGAGCGAACGCGGAUCAGCCGAGCCAGAUAAGUGACCAGAACAUGUUGGGAAGCAUGGCCAUAGCGGGUGAUAGCCCCGUAUGGGAAGCUUUGAUGGACGUAUUAAGUAGGGCGGAACACGUGAAAUUCUGUCUGAAGAUCGGAGGACCACCUUCGAAGGCUAAGUACUCCUUACUGACCGA
This 357-nucleotide ribosomal RNA is filed under the name uncultured bacterium. RNAcentral describes it as "bacterial LSU rRNA". It matches the Rfam family "Bacterial large subunit ribosomal RNA", at positions 114 to 487 of the family's 2925-position model. The record is from RNAcentral.